ACGGGGUGCAGCAGGCGCGAAACCUCCUCAAUGCACUUACGUGCGAAGGGGCUACCUCGAGUGCCAUCUGAUGAAGGUGGCUUUUCCUAGGUCUACAAAGCCUUGGGAAUAAGAGGGGGGCAAGACUGGUGUCAGCCGCCGCGGUAACACCAGCCCCUCGAGUGGUGGGGAUGAUUAUUGGGCCUAAAGCGUCCGUAGCCUGCCGUGUAAGUUUCCCGUUAAAUCCAGCGUCUCAAGCGUUGGACCGCGGGAAAUACUGUACGGCUAGAGAGUGGGAGAGGUCAGCGGUAUUCUGGGGGUAGGGGCGAAAUCCUUUGAUCCCCGGAGGACCACCAGUGGCGAAGGCUGCUGUCUAGAACACGUCUGACGGUCAGGGACGAAAGCUGAGGUAGCGAACCGGAUUAGAUACCCGGGUAGUCCCAGCCGUAAACGAUGCAUGCUAGGUGUUGGGUUGGCCACGAGCCACCCCAGUGCCGCAGGGAAGCCGUUAAGCAUGCCGCCUGGGAAGUACGAUCGCAAGGUUGAAACUUAAAGGAAUUGGCGGGGGAGCACCACCAGGCGUGAAGCCUGCGGUUUAAUUGGAGUCAACGCCGGGAACCUUACCGGGAGCGACAGCAGAGUGAAGGUCAGAUUGAAGAUCUUACCAGACGAGCUGAGAGGAGGUGCAUGGCCGUCGCCAGUUCGUGCCGUGAGGUGUUAUGUUAAGUCAUAUAACGAACGAGACCCGUGCCGCAUGUUGCCACCAGAAUCUAAAGGAUUGCUGAGCACUCUUGCGG
Molecule: ribosomal RNA, 776 nt
Filed under: uncultured archaeon
Lineage: Archaea
Description: bacterial SSU rRNA
Rfam family: Archaeal small subunit ribosomal RNA
Source: RNAcentral